UCGCGAGGACGACCUCGCGACUCAUUCGAGCGAUCAAUUCCGGGGACGACCCCA
Molecule: non-coding RNA, 54 nt
Organism: Pseudomonas fluorescens
Lineage: Bacteria; Pseudomonadati; Pseudomonadota; Gammaproteobacteria; Pseudomonadales; Pseudomonadaceae
Source: Rfam